UAGUUAAUUUCUAGAAUAUAGUAAGUCAUCAUUUUACUUGUGGAAAAUUUUAUAAGUAACUACAUUCUAUCAAUAUUUAUUUCAAAUUAGAUGUUUUCAUGUCGUUGAGCCUAAAAUAAUUUUUGAAACUAAGCUGCCUAGAGAUUUGCUUAAUUCACUGCUCCUAUUAAAUGAUACAUUCAAGGAUGGCAUAUAAUAAUUGAUUGAAAAACAAUUGUGUUAUUAUUACUUCUAAAUUAUUAUUAUAUAAUCAAUAGCCCCCAUGGUUUUAAAGUACUUUUUUAAA
Molecule: long non-coding RNA, 286 nt
Filed under: Pan troglodytes (chimpanzee)
Lineage: Eukaryota; Metazoa; Chordata; Mammalia; Primates; Hominidae
Description: long non-coding RNA NONPTRT012472
Source: RNAcentral